Non-coding RNA from Camellia sinensis, 2256 nucleotides. The record is from RefSeq and is a predicted model, not a curated record. Lineage: Eukaryota; Viridiplantae; Streptophyta; Magnoliopsida; Ericales; Theaceae.
AACAAAAACAAGAAAAAGGAAAAAUAGAGAACAACUAGCAGGGAGAUGUGUUCGAGAGAGAGAGAAGACGAAGAGAUAGAGGGAAGACAGACGGAGAGAAGAGCAGUCCUUUGGAGCAACAACCAUUGCUUCGCUCGUGACAGCCAUUGCGUCGCUCGAGCAGUCCUUCGUAGUUACCUCCUUCGCAGCCUGGUUCAUUUUCGCUUCUCCCUCCGGUCGACGAAGACCCGCGAACGAAGCAAAUGGAGUCGUCUCACCUCUCCCUCUGACCGGAGCUCUCGCACCUCUCCCUCCGACCGUCCAAUUUCAGCUUGUGUUUGAGGAUCUACUUGAGAGAGCUAGAGAAAAGGAGGAGAAAGAAGCUAAAAAGCGUCAACGUUUUGCCAAAGAUUUCACUGAUCUUUUGUCCACCAUCAAGGAAAUCACUGCAUCUUCUAUUUGGGAGGAAAGCAAACAACUCUUUGAGAAAAGCUCAGAGUACAGAUCAAUUGGAGAAGAUAGUUUUGCCAAGGAGGUCUUUGAGGAACACCUUGUGCACUUGCUGGAAAAGGCAAAAGAAAAGGAACGCAAGCGAGAGGAGGAAAAGGAAAUAAAGACUAUAAAAUAAAUGCUUACCAUCUGAUGUUGACCCAAAAGAACAGAAGAAGAAGAAACUGGAGAAACAUGUUCCCAAAUCAACAUCUCAAUUAUCAGUACCCAAAUCAUACCCUAUUUGGUGCCAUUUACAGAUUUUUUGUUUUGUUUUUGGUUGGGUUUUUGGAAAUAAGAACAAUGAAAAGUUCGGAAACUCCCAUCAUGUUCAUACUAUUUUCAUUUUUGUGCAUAAACAGUUUCUGAAAAUUCAGAAACAGUUAAAAAGUGUUUCCUACAAAAGGGGUGUUCUCAGAAAACUUCCCUGCAUACAUUUUUUGGAAACAUUUUGAAAAUGAUAUCAACAUAUCCUUUUUAUUUACUUUUCCUAAGAAGUUGUUUAGAAUGUGCAAUUGUUGGAAUGGUUGAGAGAGCUUUCAUGCUCUGAGACGCUCGGAAAUCUCAUUUUUGAAUGGCCUCUUAUGAAUAUUUUAGACACGUCGGUUUCAAUGUGUGUUUGCCUGCCUUUUUUGGUUUGUAUCUGCUAGCAUGGAAUCCAUGGUUUACUAGUUUAAACUUUAUGUCCGAUGUGCCCAUUGUAGUAAGAUUUGUCUUAUGCUGAAAAAUCUAAUAUGCCUCGAAUCUUUUUUCAUAAAGUGAAAGUAGUUGUAUCACUGGAUCUUCAUGUAUGAACACAAGAAUGAGCAAAUAAACAAAGGGCCGUUUGUUUUUGCUGAAUUAUUAUUAUUGUUAUUUUUUGUCACAAGAAUUUAUCUUAUUAUGUCUUGCAAACUUAGUUUUAUAUCAAAUAAGCAGACUGUCUACAUCAAUGCAAAUAGCACACACUGCCUUAAGUACAUACAUCGCUUCCUUUUUAUUUAUGAGAUUUGGUUAUAGUGAAUAUAUUAUUCUUGUCUAAAAAAUAGCAAUAAACUUUUACCUUUUGUUUUUGAGAAAAUUUAAAUAAUUUGAACAAAUUUGAUUUAUAUCAGGGUUCUUAAAUUUUGCUACCUUAGACCAAGCAGCUUUUAUUUGAUUAAAAUAACAAUUUUUUUUUUCUUUUGUUUUCUUAAUUAAAGAAUAGUUUUUCCGCGAUUAUUAUGAUUACAACAUGGCACCCAUAUGUAGUUUCCUGUAUAUAAUCUAUGAGUUGAUUGUUCUAAUUUGACUUAUUCAGUAGCUGUUGCUCUGCAAAUCCUUUCAACAUUUAGGUAGAUAAUGCUUUCUUUUGUUCAUUCAAACUGUGUUAGGUUUCUACUAUUCACUGCUUUGUAGUAUUAUAAUCAUACCAAGGCCCUUAUGUCUUGUAUCUUCUACGAUAUAAAUCCUUGAGAAUAUUUUGAAUUGUGUUAUUCAAUGGCAGUUGCCUUGUAGUACCUCUUGCCAAUUAGUGAUGAUGACUUUGAUUCCUGUACAACAAAUUAAGUAGAAGUUUAUCAUUUCCCUUUUGUAAAAUCCACAUCAUAAGCUUUUGAGUGCUUUUUCUUACUUUAAAGUUGACUGUUUGAAAUUGAUGUAAGGUGCAAUCCAAACAGUCUAUAGGGAUAGAUUGUGUGAAAGGACUACUCUCUUUGAAAUUUUUACUUUGAAAUUUUUAUUUUUUCUCCUCUAGGUUGCAUAUUAACAUAUUUAGUGAAUGGUUACCUUAACCUUUUGUUGUUAUUGUUGUUUUUUUUUUUUUUUUUU